UUUUGUAUUAUACAUUGUUUAUAACUGUGUAUUUGUUGGUAAUGUAUACCAAAAUUUUGGGACUUUUCUGAUUGCAGGUUUAUUAAUUUUUUUGAUGAAUAUUAAUUUUUGUAUUAUACAUUGUUUAUAACUGUGUAUUUGUUGGUAAUGUAUACCAAAAUUUUGGGACUUUUCUGAUUGCAGGUUUAUUAAUUUUUUCAAUUAUCCAUUGUUGAUUAAACUGUGUAUUUGUGGAUUAUGCAUAUGAAAUGUAAUGAUUGGUUUAUGAAAUUGUGUAUUUAUGGGUGAUGCAUAUAUCAAUUUUGGGACUUUUCUGAUUGCAGGUUUAUUAAUCUUUUCAAUUAUCCAUUGUUGAUUAAACUGUGUAUUUGUGGAUUAUGCAUAUGAAAUGUAAUGAUUGGUUUAUGAAACUGUGUAUUUAUGGGUGAUGCAUAUAUCAAUUUUGGGGCUUUUCUGAUUGCAGGUUAUUCCCAAUUGCUUUGUGGUUUGAAUUUUUUUGUAAGCUCUUUUGGGGCUUGACUGGUUAUGCAUGAUUGGUUUUUGCUGUGAUUUUUAUUAGAAUUUGGUUAGUUGGGUUCUGUGUAGAAUGCAAUGUGAUGGUAUUGUUAUAGUGUAAAUAGAAUGCAAUGUGAUGGUUUGGAUGUUAUAUGUUUGUGGCUGAUUUUAUUUAUGGUGUAAUGAAUAGCAUACUUGUUUACAUAUCUCUUAGACUACAAUGUUUGUGAUUUUGUUAGAUGAAGAAAAAAACCAAAGCCGCAAUUCUUGCAUCAGUUGCAUCUGUCCUCCUUGUGGGGGUUGCAUUGUUAAAGAAAUUACGACGUAGACGUAGAGAUCUGCCUAGGGCGCCUUAUGUUAACCAUGCCGCCGAGAGAGAGGAAUACAUAAAUAGUGUUUUGCAUGGAAGUGAGAGACAUUGUGUGAAUCAACUUAGGAUGAAGCCUAUAGCUUUCCACCACUUAUGUCACGCCCUCACUGAGGGGGAGCACGUACGUCCGACUGUUCACAUGUCUGUUACGGAGCAAGUGUUCAUUUUCUUGCACAUUAUUGGUCAUAAUGUGAGGUUUCGUGUAAUGGGUGGUCGGAUCUAUAGAUCAACUGAGACUGUUCAUAGAUACUUCAAAGUUGUCCUUAGGGGGGUCCUGAAAUUAUAUAGAGCUCUAAUAAGACUGCGUAGCGAAGAUACACCUCCAGAGAUAAGGAAUAGCAGAAGGUUUUACCCAUAUUUUAAGGAUUGUGUUGGAGCAAUAGAUGGUACACAUGUUCGUGCAUCUGUGCCACCUGAAAUACAAGGAAGAUUUCGUGGUCGCAAAGAUGGAACCACGCAAAAUGUGUUAGCUGCCAUUAGUUUCGACUUAAAGUUCACUUAUGUGUUGGCUGGAUGGGAAGGCAGUGCACAUGAUUCACGUGUAUUAAAUGAUGCAUUUGCUAGGCCAGGGGGAUUUUCAAUUCCCAAUGGUAAAUUUUAUCUUGGUGAUGCUGGGUAUGGUAAUAAAAAUGGAAUAUUGUCAGCGUAUCGGAGUGUACGAUAUCACUUGAAAGAGUUUAGUGAUCGUCCUCCUGAGAAUGCGCAAGAAUUGUUCAAUCUCCGACACUCUUCAUUGAGAACUACCAUUGAGCGAGGGUUUGGAGUGGUGAAAAAACGUUUUCGAGUGUUGGAUGCAGAACCAUAUUGGUCUUUCCCAACCCAAGUGAAAGUAGUGUUAGCGUGUUGUGUGGUUCAUAAUCACAUUAUGGGGGUUGAACCAAAUGACCAUAUUAUGGAAGAUGCAAUGAACCAAGUAGAGCUUAGUGACCACCAAGAAGAAACACAGUCUCGUCGGGAGUCCGUCGAAGAUAGUAGAUCAUGGAAUGCUAAGAGAGAUGAGAUAUGUCAAGCCAUGUGGUCUGAUUAUAUCAGGAGUGGAGAGUAGUACUUUAUUUAGAUUUUUAUGAUUGUAAUGUGUUUUUUCUUUUUGUUUUUUUUUAAAGACAAUGUAUGUAAUAUAGACUUUUGGUGAUGUAAUGAAAAAGUAUUUUUAGCAUUACAUUGUUAUUUGAUGGUAUUACAUUGUCAUUUCCAUAGUUAGCAUGUUCCGUUCUAUUGUGCACAUUCAUAAGCGUGGUUGUAUGUGUGUUUGAUUUGUUAUUCAUGUUCCGAGUGUAAUUACUGAAUGCUACUCUCACUAUACUAUUUUCGUAUGUAGUAAUGUCAAAGGGUAAGGAAAAAGUUAGCGGCAGCAAGCAAUUUAGGUGGCUGCCACCUAUGCAUGAGAUGAUGCUAAAGAUAUUAACAGAGGAGGCUGGAAAGGGCAAUAAGCCCUCUAAUACUUUUAGGGCCGGCUCCUUUGCUCUUGUAGCGAAGGAGAUAACGGCCCAUUUCGGGGUUGAGUGCCACCCUGUAUUUGUGGAGAACCGGAUGCGGACUCUAAGGUCCAUGUGGGCAACUAUUCAAGAGCUUAGAAAGAAGAGUGGAUUCGGUUGGGACGAAAAUCUGAAAAUGAUAACGUGUGACGCUAAAACCUACCAAGAAGAAGUUAUGGCACAUCGGAAGCAUGCCGAGUAUCUGAACAAAAAAAUUGAGUUUUACGAUGAAUUAGCGAUUGUGGUGGGGAAGGAUACAGCCACAGGUGCCUUUGCUAAGUCUGGAGUGGAUAUCGAAAAUGAGCCAGAUAAUGGGGAUAAUGGGGAUAGUGCAGAGUUUGUGGCAGAUAAUGUGGAUGAAUGUGUGGUUGAAAAGGGGAAGAACGUAAAUGAAUCAUCCACCACUGGGUCGGGAAUUUCCAAGUCCCGCAAAAGAGGGCGUGCAGCUUCUACUGCUGAUGAUAGUGUGCUGACUGAUCUGUCUGGUCAGCUGAAGGAAAUAGCUGUCGCUCUAAAAGAAAUUAAUCGGGGCCCGGUAGAUUACACAACUUUGUAUAAUGAGGUAAUGGCUAUGAUGGCGGAUGGAUAUAGCGAAGAUAUGCUCGCUACUGCCUUCGACCAUCUUUGUGAGAAUGAGAAGACGGCACGUGGAUUUUUAGCAAAGAAUGCUAGGUUGAGGAAGUUGUGGUUAGAUGGUUAUUUUUUCUCACAAAUUUGAUUUGCUUAUUUCAUGUUGACUGUGAUGGUAGAUUUAGGAAUUAACUAGACAUUGUAGUAUUAAUAUUGACGUAUCAAUGUAUUAUAUAUGUACUCUUUUGUAUUAUUGGGACGAUACAAUUGCCCAAAUUAUGUAUUUCGAAUGAUUAUGUUUGAUGUUGAACCAAAUGUGCUGCAAUUUUUGUAUUGUUACAGAUAUGUAUAGGGAAUGCAGGUUCUUCAAUUU
Molecule: RNA transcript, 3283 nt
Organism: Quercus robur (English oak)
Lineage: Eukaryota; Viridiplantae; Streptophyta; Magnoliopsida; Fagales; Fagaceae
Exons: 4
Source: RefSeq, a predicted model, not a curated record